GCCGCGCGCUCCGGGCUCGCCCGCUAGGCCGCCCCUGGGACUCGGCGGAGAGCGGCCGGCGGGACCCCAGCGCCCCGAGUGGCGGCACCGCGGAGAGUCCGGUUCCCGGUCCCCAGGCCGAUCUCGGUCCCCAGGCCAGUCUCGGAAGGUCCUGGGAGGGCCCGGGAGACCGGAGCGGCCGAGCCGGUGCAGAGCCUCACGCAAGGCCGGCCGGACGCGCGGAGGCCCUGCGGGAAGGAGAGGGGCUCCCCAAAAGGCUUGAAGGCGCUUUGCACACAGUGCACGGCGGAGAGGACAACGCGGGGCCUUGUUUUAGCUUCCCCUAGCAAUGCACCAAAUGAGAUUAGCCGGAGAGCGUUUGAUGGCGCAGAAUCCGGUGCGGAGAUGUUGACGCUCGGUGCCGGACGCGUUUGAUGAUGUUCUCCUCGGCACAAUUAACUUUGCGGAGUUCAGAAACGUGCCAGCUCGGACGCCGGCGUGCAGCUGGGCGUCCAGGGCUCUGCAGCCACACCUUCAGUGAGAGCCCAGCUUGUGUGUUUCAUUUGUUGUUUAUUUAAGGCACCAGCGUCCAGGCCAACGUGUUUCGUGGAGACCAUUGGAUGAAAUU
Molecule: long non-coding RNA, 607 nt
Organism: Eptesicus fuscus (big brown bat)
Lineage: Eukaryota; Metazoa; Chordata; Mammalia; Chiroptera; Vespertilionidae
Exons: 2
Source: RefSeq, a predicted model, not a curated record